Molecule: RNA transcript, 1487 nt
Organism: Rosa chinensis
Lineage: Eukaryota; Viridiplantae; Streptophyta; Magnoliopsida; Rosales; Rosaceae
Exons: 5
Source: RefSeq, a predicted model, not a curated record
UCCCUCUCGGCCGCAUCCCCUCUCUCUCUCCACGAUCUCUCUCUCUCUCAUCCUCCCAUGGACAACGCCGGAAAAACCCCCAUCUCUGGCCACCACCUCGCAAAACUGCCACCACCCAUCAAUGCUGCACCAAGAUGUGACCCAAACCCACGGAAAAUUGAAACCAUGCAUUGACCCCGACCUCUCUCUUCCGCUUUCCUUCUCUCUGCCACCACCGGAGACUCCAGCUCCGGCCACCAUCUCAUCACACCUCAUCCAGCCACUGCAUGCGACCACCUAGCCAAAAAGGCUACUUCCGAUCACUUUCUGCACUCCUCGCCAUCACCAAUCGAUCCAGACCAGGCCACUCACCCAAAGCCCGAAGCCUCGCAUCAUCUGACGCCAGAAGACCACCGAUGUCGGAGUACAGCCACUGCCUUUCCCAAAUCUCCAACCUCCAGUCCAAAUCAAGCCUCAACACCUCCAUAAACGAAGUCGGAGCUACACUCCCUUUUGAAACCUCAUAACCUCGAUCUCCGACUCCAACCAGAACGUGACGCACCGCCGCUGCCACCUUGUGCCACCGUGAGAGCCACCGGUUUGCUCCUUCAGUCCGGUAAGCUCGUUUACGUCGCCCUAUUCUUGGUUGAAGCCUCCAAUUCGAUUUAGAUUGAAAACCCUAAUUUGUGAUGUUGAUUUGGAUUGUGAGGGACUGGAAAUCUGUGUUCGGGAGAUUUUGGAGGAAAUGAGGUCUGUGAAGUUCAGGAAUUUGGAGUUUUGGAAGGGAGGAGUUGCUGGGUCAGUUAAGUUGAUAUCGAGGAAAGGGAUUCGUAUGGUUAAUGGUUGUGGAAUGCAGCUAGGACGGAAUUGGUUUCCGAGUUGGAGAAGAAGAGAUGGACUCGAGCGUGUGCACAUGGAAUUGGAUAAAGUAUUGAGAAAAAUCAGAAACGAAGCUAAGUUUGGGCGAGCACUCCAUAUCCAGUGUGCAGGUUUCGAGCAGGUGGUCGGGGAGCUUGCAGGGGAGGCACUUGGUCCGGCUUGACGUAUAGUCGAAACCGACUGCCUUGAGGCUACUUUGGACCUCAAAAAUCCCAAAUGGGAUCUAUUACUGUAUGCAGCAAUCAUAGCUGACAUUCGAGCUAUAUUACAGUCCAAACCAGAGCUACAGAUUUGUUUUGCUCCUAGGACCUGCAAUAGCACACAGGUUGGCUAGUCUUGCUUUUGAUGACAAUGAUAGUCAUGUUUGGAGGGAUCAUCCCCCUGAAUGUAUCCUAGAUGUACUAGCCUUGGACUGUAACUCGGGCUAAGUCCUUAUCAAUAAAGAUCAUUCUUCUACUCAAAAAAAAAAAAAAAAAAAAAAAAAAAAGAUCCAACUAGGCCCCGGGAAAGGAUAAUAAAGCAAAGCCAGAUUUGAGAUAAGAAGCAUGCAAUAUUAUGUAUUCAAAGGCGUGCACCAUGUUGUGAAAACACACAUGUAAAGCACCAAGUAAAAGCACUAAUAUAUUCAA